This 748-nucleotide ribosomal RNA is filed under the name uncultured Piscirickettsiaceae bacterium. RNAcentral describes it as "bacterial SSU rRNA". It matches the Rfam family "Bacterial small subunit ribosomal RNA", at positions 56 to 795 of the family's 1533-position model. The record is from RNAcentral. Lineage: Bacteria; Pseudomonadati; Pseudomonadota; Gammaproteobacteria; Thiotrichales; Piscirickettsiaceae.
UGCAAGUCGAACGGUAACAGGACUAGCUUGCUAGUUGCUGACGAGUGGCGGACGGGUGAGUAAUGUAUAGGGAUCUGCCUGACAGUGGGGGACAACAGCCGGAAACGGCUGCUAAUACCGCAUACGCUCUACGGAGGAAAGUGGGGGACCUUCGGGCCUCACGCUGACAGAUGAACCUAUAUCAGAUUAGCUAGUUGGUGGGGUAACGGCUUACCAAGGCGACGAUCUGUAGCUGGUCUGAGAGGAUGAUCAGCCACACUGGGACUGAGACACGGCCCAGACUCCUACGGGAGGCAGCAGUGGGGAAUAUUGGACAAUGGGGGCAACCCUGAUCCAGCAAUGCCGCGUGUGUGAAGAAGGCCUUCGGGUUGUAAAGCACUUUCAUUGAGGAGGAAAAGCUGUGCGUUAAUAGCGUACAGCCGUGACGUUACUCAAAGAAGAAGCACCGGCUAACUCCGUGCCAGCAGCCGCGGUAAUACGGAGGGUGCGAGCGUUAAUCGGAAUUACUGGGCGUAAAGCGCGCGUAGGCGGUUUGCUAAGUCAGAUGUGAAAUCCCCGGGCUUAACCUGGGAACUGCAUUUGAGACUGGCAGGCUAGAGUGUGGUAGAGGUGAGUGGAAUUUCAGGUGUAGCGGUGAAAUGCGUAGAGAUCUGAAGGAACAUCAGUGGCGAAGGCGACUCACUGGGCCAUUACUGACGCUGAGGUGCGAAAGCGUGGGUAGCAAACAGGAUUAGAUACCCUGGUAGAA